Molecule: long non-coding RNA, 1538 nt
Organism: Pongo pygmaeus (Bornean orangutan)
Lineage: Eukaryota; Metazoa; Chordata; Mammalia; Primates; Hominidae
Exons: 7
Source: RefSeq, a predicted model, not a curated record
UCUGUGGGCCCCAGGAGCCCCGGGAAAACCUGGGGGAGAAUGGGCAUCCCACCCCAGCACUUUCUAGGAAGAAGGGCAACAUUUUGAAGGGCUGGAAGUAGAGAAAGAAGGUUGCGGGUAGAAGACUCCAUACUUUCUGUGACGCCUAUUCCUUAGGUAGGAACUUAGGAACCUCAGGAAUCAAGCCUAUCUGUAAUCACAGGGCUAUUUGAAAAAGAGAAGAAAAGGUGUCUUGAAAUUAAACCAACAUGUUUCAAUUAUUUGCUCCUAAGAACAACAGAAGUUUCAACAUUCUGCCAACAGAGUAACUCCUGGGAGACUGGCACAGAAGAAGGCACAAGGAGAGCUUUUAUAUAACCAAAGAUAUUUUUGGACCAUGAAUUCGGAAAUUCUCGGAGCCACCCAUCAAUGCCUGAGCUUCAGUGAGUCCAUAUCCCAUGUCACCUACGGCAAAGGAGAAUCCGAGACUUCUGAAGAGUUUCUUGCUUCUUUCCUGUGGGGCAGUGACUCCACUUCCCAGCAGUAAUGGAAUAUCCUGAAUUAGCUACAUUAAUGUUAGAACCAUUUGGACCUCACCCAGGACUUCAACUACAUUGUGCUAAAGUUACAGAAUCCAAAUUUGGCAACUGCCUGCAUCUGAACAACAGAAGUUUCAACAUUCUGCCAACAGAGUAACUCCUGGAUGACUGGCACAGAAGAAGGCACAAGGCAAAUACCCAUCUCUGUACACCCUGUGCUACUGUGUCAUGUGCUGCUCCAGGCAACUCCAAUGGAUUGGCCACCCUGGCCAAUGUGCCCUCCAAACACCAGCACUGAGUAGAAAGAGGCUCUGAUUCAUGAAAUGUGAAUUUAUGACAGUUGCCACUCUUUAAAAAAAAACAGACAGAACUUGAGCAAUACAUGACUGAUGCAUUCUCAGCCUGCUUCCUGUGUUCCAUCUGUCUUUCUGGCAGUGCAUUCACCCUCCAGGUUUGAAAGUAGUCGGUGAAACUUUCUACAUUCCACAUUUUCUAUCAAGAAAAGAAAGAGGUUGUAUUGUGAGGUAAGAGGCACACACACGGACUUCCUUCAGUCCCUGCAAUCCUUGCUAUAGGUCAGGCAUCAAGACAAUUCCACUUUACAGGUCUGGAUUUUGGAGAAAGAAAGGUUCUAGUAUGUUAGGUUUAUGUUCCCCUGCUUUCUACAAUCCUGUUCAAAGAGUUGCUGACUUAACCACAGAGAGAAUUCCAGAACAUGAGACACAGAAUAAACUUGAGCAAUCAUAGUCCAUCCACUUCAUUUUCUCAUCGAAAACCAAAGGUCCAGUGAAGCUCUGGAACUCGACGCUGUAAAGGAGCGAAGGAACAUCUAUACAGAACCUGGAUGCCUGUCUCCUUAUCCUACUUCAGCGGACUUGACUGCAAUCCGGAUUAUGCUGUUUUCUAAGCAUUUAAAAUAAAAUAAAAAGUGUAAUAGUGUGAUAAGUUCUUUCACAAAGCAAGUAAUCACAUUUAUGUUUCAACUUACAUUUGGGUUUUCCAAAUAUGUGUGUGUGUGUG